Molecule: ribosomal RNA, 207 nt
Filed under: uncultured bacterium
Lineage: Bacteria
Description: partial 16S ribosomal RNA
Rfam family: Bacterial small subunit ribosomal RNA
Source: RNAcentral
CUCGUAGGCGGUUUGUCACGUCGGUAGUGAAAACUCGGGGCUCAACCCCGAGCCUGCUUCCGAUACGGGCUGACUAGAGGUAUGCAGGGGAGAACGGAAUUCCUGGUGUAGCGGUGAAAUGCGCAGAUAUCAGGAGGAACACCGGUGGCGAAGGCGGUUCUCUGGGCAUUACCUGACGCUGAGGAGCGAAAGUGUGGGGAGCGAACA